RNAcentral lists this long non-coding RNA (1464 nucleotides) under Medicago truncatula (barrel medic). Its description in RNAcentral is "long non-coding RNA (MTRU_LNC004809)". The record is from RNAcentral. Lineage: Eukaryota; Viridiplantae; Streptophyta; Magnoliopsida; Fabales; Fabaceae.
GACGAAUGACGCAAAACUUCAUAAACAGGGUUUUAUCAGCCAAAUUCGCAAAAAAAAAUUGGGUCGUUCUAAGCAAAUUCACAAUAAUCAAAGCAAAUAUGAUUACACUAGGUGAGAUUGAUGGUUAUAAUUGUGAUUCUUUAAAAAUUAAAGCAAAAAUAACAGUCACAGGAAAGAGGGUUACAAUUGUCACUCUUUAAAAAUUGGAUCUUGCACUUUGUUAAAAUAUUUCUCAAUAUAAAACAAUACGCUUAGGUGUAUGUGUAGUUUGAUUUGCAAGAGCAAAGAGUAUACUUGAAGAAAUAACACACAAAAAUUAUGAUGGUUAUUUAAUGUGGGCUAGUUUUUUGUUGUACAAGGCUAAAACAGAUAAGAAAAUUUCUGCCACAUCAUUUUGGAGGAGAUUUUUGAGGUUCAUUAGAGGAGACUCAUGUCGAAGAAAUUCAACAUCAGAAGAGGCACGAAGCUUUGCAAAAAAAUCUGCACAUUGAUUCUCUUCCCUAAGGGUGUGAUUAACCAUAACAUUUCCCUGCUCCAAUAACACUUUUAUAUCUUGGAUUAAAACAGAAUAAGCAUGAAACCUCAUUGGGGGGACCAUUGAGGAUGUUGAUACAAUGUAAAGCAUCAGAGUAGCAAACAAAAUCAAGAAUACCCAUAUAUUUGGCCAACAAGAGACCUUUAUAGAUAGCAUAGAGCUCAUCAUACAAGAUCAGAUGAAUUUUGAAUGUAUCCAGAAAAGCCUAACAAGAAAAAACCUGCAUAGUUUCUUAAAAUUCCUCCAUAGCCAGCUCUUACUGGAGAUCCAAGACAACUUCCAUCAACAUUAAGGUUGACACAAGAAUGAUUAUUGUUGGUCCACUUGAUGAAUUGUCUUCAUAGAUAGUAUUAGAGAUGGAAGUAUAACAAGCUUUGAGGGUAUCAACCAUGCCUUGAAUGUUGAAGGAUAAUUUAGCAUUUGACCAAUUCUCAUUGCCUAAGCACAUCAUGUUUCGAUUCCUCCAAGCCCACCAUAAUAUGGGCUAGUAUAGUCUUCGCAACUGUGAGAUUUCACUAUAGUAUUUAGAUAGAUGUUUUUUCUAUCAUGUGCAAUAGACAAUAAUUACAUCAAAGUUUCACCGGAAAUGAUACUGACAGCAAAACGGUUAACCAAUACCCAAACAACAAAAGGGGUUAUGGCACCAAUCAUGAAAAUUAUAAUAAAAUGUAACAGAAUAAGCUUUAGACAUGAGAAGAAAAGUAGCUUGAUAUUUUCCAAAAGCUGAGAUGGAGUGCUUUUUUUUUUUUUUUUUGCACGGAAAAUUCUAGCGUUCCCUUCCUUCCAAAUUAGUCAAGUGCUUGCAAACUUAAGUACAUAAAGGAGCACCGAGCUUUAGAGAUACCUGAAGAAAUAUUGAUCUGAAGAUAAUGAGCUGAUAUGGUUAAAGGGUUAACCGAAGAAACACCUAACCAAAGAUGAACCAACUG